GGGUUCAUAGCUCAGAUGGUUAGAGCGCUACAUUGACAUUGUAGAGGUCGGCAGUUCGAAUCUGCCUGAACCCACCA
This 77-nucleotide transfer RNA is filed under the name Rhodohalobacter barkolensis. RNAcentral's name for it is "tRNA-Val". It matches the Rfam family "tRNA". From Rfam's summary of the family: Transfer RNA (tRNA) molecules are approximately 80 nucleotides in length. Their secondary structure includes four short double-helical elements and three loops (D, anti-codon, and T loops). Further hydrogen bonds mediate the characteristic L-shaped molecular structure. tRNAs have two regions of fundamental functional importance: the anti-codon, which is responsible for specific mRNA codon recognition, and the 3' end, to which the tRNAs corresponding amino acid is attached (by aminoacyl-tRNA synthetases). tRNAs cope with the degeneracy of the genetic code in two manners: having more than one tRNA (with a specific anti-codon) for a particular amino acid; and 'wobble' base-pairing, i.e. permitting non-standard base-pairing at the 3rd anti-codon position. The record is from RNAcentral. Lineage: Bacteria; Pseudomonadati; Balneolota; Balneolia; Balneolales; Balneolaceae.